AUGAAGACAGAGAUUCAAGUUAGUGCGACUGGCAAGGUGGCCCCUCAAGCUCCCAAAACUCCGGCCGGAGACACCAGUCGGCGACAACAGCAGAAUGAUCACAAGCGCAAGGCCCCACAGCCGACUUCCAGCAGUCGGCAGGUCGCGACAAUCGAAGACCAACAACCUGAGGGGCAGCCUCUGGCGAAGCGGCAGAAAGGCGGCAAGUCCAACUGGUUGCCAGCCUUCUCUUACGAGCAGACUCUGGAUGGUCCCUGCAAGUUCCACAGCGGUGCAAAACCGUCAAACCAUACCACCCGAAAAUGCCACUGGCUCACCAGAAUCGCCAAGGGAGACGGCCUCCUUCCUCCACCGCCUGCUGGGCCGCCGCCUCCACAGCCGCCCCAGCAGCCGGCGGCUAGGCCAGUCGGGGCCGUACAAGAUGAAUACCCCGAAGAGCAUGGAGCUUAUGUGGUGUUCACCAGUAUGGCUGAUGAUCGACGCAGCAGACGGUUGCAGCAGCAAGAAGUAAAUGCUGUAGCAUCAGAUACUCCGGAAUUUAUGCAUUGGUCCGAGAAGCCUAUCAGUUGGAGCAGAGCAGAUCACCCAGAGGUGAUGCCGAAUCCGGGCUCCUAUGCCUUGGUUCUGAGUGCAAUCUUGGCCACUGAUAGGCGGGUCUCUCACUUCUCGCGAGUGUUGAUAGACGGAGGCAGCAGCAUCAACAUCCUGUACAAGGAUACCAUGGAGAAAUUAGGGAUCAAGCAGAAACAACUUCAAAGCAGCCGGACUGCUUUCCACGGCAUUGUACCUGGCCUUUCCUGCUCCCCGAUCGGCAAGAUCCAGAUAGACGUCCUCUUCGGAGACAAAGAUCAUUUUCGCCGAGAGCCAGUCUCGUUUGAAGUGGUGGACCUUGAAAGCCCAUACCAAGCGCUGUUUGGCCGACCUGCCUUAGCCAAGUUCAUGGCGGUCCCCCACUACGCCUACCUCAAGAUAAAGAUGCCGAGUUCAAAGGGGAUUCUGACCGUGGCUGGCGACUACAAGAAGUCGUCCACCUGCGCGGCCGAGAGCAGUCGGUUGGCCGAGUCCCUGGUGAUCGCAGCUGAAAGGCGGCUCCUUGACCGGGUUGUGGCGAUGGCCGGCAAGCAGCCAGAGAUGUCGCCCGACCCCAAGGAGUCGGAAGCUGAUGGUUCGUUCAAGCCGGCUAAAGAAACAAAGAGGAUACCUUUGGACCCGGAGCACCCGGAGAGGCACGCUGUCAUAGGUACAAACCUAGACAGCAAAUAG
This 1263-nucleotide ribosomal RNA is filed under the name Triticum aestivum (bread wheat). Its description in RNAcentral is "partial small subunit ribosomal RNA". The record is from RNAcentral. Lineage: Eukaryota; Viridiplantae; Streptophyta; Magnoliopsida; Poales; Poaceae.